GACGAACGCUGGCGGCGUGCUUAACACAUGCAAGUCGAGCGGUAAGGCCCUUUCGGGGGUACACGAGCGGCGAACGGGUGAGUAACACGUGGGUGACCUGCCCUCAGCUCUGGGAUAAGCCUGGGGAAACCGGGUCUAAUACCGGAUAUGACUCCAUGACGCAUGUUGUGGGGUGGAAAGCCUUGUGCGGCUGAGGAUGGGCCCGCGGCCUAUCAGCUUGUUGGUGGGGGAUGGCCUACCAAGGCGACGACGGGUAGCCGGCCUGAGAGGGCGGACCGGCCACACUGGGACUGAGACACGGCCCAGACUCCUACGGGAGGGCAGCAGUGGGGAAUCUUGCGCAAUGGGCGAAAGCCUGACGCAGCGACGCCGCGUGAGGGAUGACGGCCU
Molecule: ribosomal RNA, 390 nt
Filed under: uncultured bacterium
Lineage: Bacteria
Description: bacterial SSU rRNA
Rfam family: Bacterial small subunit ribosomal RNA
Source: RNAcentral